Molecule: non-coding RNA, 982 nt
Organism: Cherax quadricarinatus
Lineage: Eukaryota; Metazoa; Arthropoda; Malacostraca; Decapoda; Parastacidae
Source: RefSeq, a predicted model, not a curated record
ACAUGCACACAUGCACACAUGUGAUAAUGCUUUAUUUACAGCUAGCAAAGUCAGGGUAUUUCUCCAGAAUGGUCUGCAAUAUACCACUGUGGAUAAAAUACUUUGCCAUUUCUUGAAAGCCACUAGUAUUUCGAGCAGAAUAAUAUCUGCCCGAAAUGCAUCGCAUGCUGGUGGCUUUAUUUUGUGUUUAAUAUUUCAUUACAUGUAAACUAUAUUUUGUAUACUGCAGAAAAGAAAUUAUUGUAUUAUUGUUUCCACAAGGUAUAUUAUUUGUAGCAGUUAUAUGGUAUUUUAUAAAACAUGAAGUCUCCAGGUUAUAAUUGCUUCGUCACAUUCAUAAAUCAUUUUACAUAAUUUUGUACUAAUUAUGUUCUGUACUUAAUGGAAAUAAAGCUAUUUUAAUUUUAGAAAUAUAUUAACUUUAGGCUUGAAUUUGCUGGAAAUACUCAUCAUAACUAAGGUUUUAUUCUAAGUAAGUAAGUAAGUAAGUAAGUUUAUUCAGGUAUACACAAAUACAGUUACAUAGAUUAUCAUACAUAGCAGCAUAUGUGUAGAGAACCUAGGAUAACCCAAAAAAGUCAGACAGAGUGACUUAUUUCCAUUGGGGUCCUUUACUUAUUACUAAAUGUCAGCGAAUUUUUGUUGAAACUAUGUAUCAUAUGGAUAUUAUUUGUAUGGUUAUUAUUAUUAAUAUUAAUGAAAAAUAUUAAUGUGUGUGUGAGGGUUGGCAGCCGUGGUGUGACGUGUUGUGUGUGGACGGACGUGACGUCACAAGGUGCUGUACGUGGACACGGACACACUGUUGUUGCUGCUGCUGAUCAUUGUAUCUCUGCUGUUGCUCCAGUACACUCUGGGGCUCGUAAAUGGGAAAAAGAUGCCAGCUUAGGAUUAAGAUAUCAACAGAAACUCUCCUUUUUCUUUAGGCAUGUAAUUUUGUUUGAAGUGUAAGUAAGGCUAUCUAUUAAAUGUUUCAUUUACAGUA